GACGAACGCGGCGGCGUGCUUAACACAUGCAAGUCGAACGCGAAGCCCAGCUUGCUGGGUGGAUGAGUGGCGAACGGGUGAGUAACACGUGAGUAACCUGCCCCCUUCUUUGGGAUAACGCCCGGAAACGGGUGCUAAUACUGGAUAUUCACUGGCCUUCGCAUGGGGGUUGGUGGAAAGGUUUUUUCUGGUGGGGGAUGGGCUCGCGGCCUAUCAGCUUGUUGGUGGGGUGAUGGCCUACCAAGGCUUUGACGGGUAGCCGGCCUGAGAGGGUGACCGGUCACAUUGGGACUGAGAUACGGCCCAGACUCCUACGGGAGGCAGCAGUGGGGAAUAUUGCACAAUGGGCGAAAGCCUGAUGCAGCGACGCCGCGUGAGGGAUGACGGCCUUCGGGUUGUAAACCUCUUUCGCUCAUGGUCAAGCCGCAGCUUUGGGUUGUGGUGAGGGUAGUGGGUAAAGAAGCGCCGGCUAACUACGUGCCAGCAGCCGCGGUAAUACGUAGGGCGCGAGCGUUGUCCGGAAUUAUUGGGCGUAAAGGGCUUGUAGGCGGUUGGUCGCGUCUGCCGUGAAAUCCUCUGGCUUAACUGGGGGCGUGCGGUGGGUACGGGCUGACUUGAGUGCGGUAGGGGAGACUGGAACUCCUGGUGUAGCGGUGGAAUGCGCAGAUAUCAGGAAGAACACCGGUGGCGAAGGCGGGUCUCUGGGCCGUUACUGACGCUGAGGAGCGAAAGCGUGGGGAGCGAACAGG
Molecule: ribosomal RNA, 749 nt
Filed under: uncultured Actinomyces sp.
Lineage: Bacteria; Bacillati; Actinomycetota; Actinomycetes; Actinomycetales; Actinomycetaceae
Description: bacterial SSU rRNA
Rfam family: Bacterial small subunit ribosomal RNA
Source: RNAcentral